RNAcentral lists this ribosomal RNA (371 nucleotides) under uncultured bacterium. RNAcentral's name for it is "bacterial SSU rRNA". It matches the Rfam family "Bacterial small subunit ribosomal RNA", at positions 509 to 881 of the family's 1533-position model. The record is from RNAcentral.
CAGCAGCCGCGGUAAUACGUAGGGGGCUAGCGUUAUCCGGAAUUACUGGGCGUAAAGGGUGCGUAGGUGGUUUCUUAAGUCAGAGGUGAAAGGCUACGGCUCAACCGUAGUAAGCCUUUGAAACUGGGAAACUUGAGUGCAGGAGAGGAGAGUGGAAUUCCUAGUGUAGCGGUGAAAUGCGUAGAUAUUAGGAGGAACACCAGUUGCGAAGGCGGCUCUCUGGACUGUAACUGACACUGAGGCACGAAAGCGUGGGGAGCAAACAGGAUUAGAUACCCUGGUAGUCCACGCCGUAAACGAUGAGUACUAGCUGUCGGAGGUUACCCCCUUCGGUGGCGCAGCUAACGCAUUAAGUACUCCGCCUGGGAAGU